This 466-nucleotide ribosomal RNA is filed under the name uncultured bacterium. RNAcentral's name for it is "partial 16S ribosomal RNA". It matches the Rfam family "Bacterial small subunit ribosomal RNA", at positions 28 to 507 of the family's 1533-position model. The record is from RNAcentral.
GAUGAACGCUGGCGGCGUGCUUAACACAUGCAAGUCGAACGAUGAAGCCCAGCUUGCUGGGUGGAGUAGUGGCGAACGGGUGAGUAACACGUGAGUAACCGGCCCUUAACUCUGGGAUAAGCCUGGGAAACUGGGUCUAAUACCGGAUAGGAGCGUCCACCGCAUGGUGGGUGUUGGAAAGAUUUAUCGGUUUUGGAUGGACUCGCGGCCUAUCAGCUUGUUGGUGAGGUAAUGGCUCACCAAGGCGACGACGGGUAGCCGGCCAGAGAGGGUGACCGGCCACCCUGGGCCUGCGACACGGCCCAGAGUCCUACGGGAGGCAGCAGUGGGGAAUAUUGCACAAUGGGCGCAAGCCUGAUGCAGCGACGCCGCGUGAGGGAUGACGGCCUUCGGGUUGUAAACCUCUUUCAGUAGGGAAGAAGCGAAAGUGACGGUACCUGCAGAAGAAGCACCGGCUAACUACGUG